UGGCUCAGGACGAACGCUGGCGGCGUGCCUAACACAUGCAAGUCGAGCGAUGAAAUCCCUUCGGGGAUGGAUUAGCGGCGGACGGGUGAGUAACACGUGGGUAACCUGCCUCAAAGAGGGGGAUAGCCUCCCGAAAGGGAGAUUAAUACCGCAUAACAUUAGUUUUUCGCAUGAAGAACUAAUUAAAGGAGCAAUCCGCUUUGAGAUGGACCCGCGGCGCAUUAGCUAGUUGGUGAGGUAACGGCUCACCAAGGCGACGAUGCGUAGCCGACCUGAGAGGGUGAUCGGCCACAUUGGAACUGAGACACGGUCCAGACUCCUACGGGAGGCAGCAGUGGGGAAUAUUGCACAAUGGGCGAAAGCCUGAUGCAGCAACGCCGCGUGAGUGAUGAAGGCCUUCGGGUUGUAAAGCUCUGUCUUUGGGGACGAUAAUGACGGUACCCAAGGAGGAAGCCACGGCUAACUACGUGCCAGCAGCCGCGGUAAUACGUAGGUGGCGAGCGUUGUCCGGAUUUACUGGGCGUAAAGGAUGCGUAGGCGGAUAUUUAAGUGAGAUGUGAAAUACCCGGGCUUAACUUGGGUGCUGCAUUUCAAACUGGAUAUCUAGAGUGCGGGAGAGGAGAAUGGAAUUCCUAGUGUAGCGGUGAAAUGCGUAGAGAUUAGGAAGAACACCAGUGGCGAAGGCGAUUCUCUGGACCG
Molecule: ribosomal RNA, 699 nt
Filed under: uncultured bacterium
Lineage: Bacteria
Description: bacterial SSU rRNA
Rfam family: Bacterial small subunit ribosomal RNA
Source: RNAcentral